UUGACCUCGGAUCAGGUAGGAUACCCGCUGAACUUAAGCAUAUCAAUAAGCGGAGNAAAAGAAACCAACAGGGAUUGCCUCAGUAACGGCGAGUGAAGCGGCAACAGCUCAAAUUUGAAAUCUGGCCCCAGGCCCGAGUUGUAAUUUGCAGAGGAUGCUUUGGGCGCGGUGCCUUCCGAGUCCCCUGGAACGGGACGCCAUAGAGGGUGAGAGCCCCGUCUGGUCGGACACCAAGCCUCUGUAAAGCUCCUUCGACGAGUCGAGUAGUUUGGGAAUGCUGCUCUAAAUGGGAGGUAUAUGUCUUCUAAAGCUAAAUACCGGCCAGAGACCGAUAGCGCACAAGUAGAGUGAUCGAAAGAUGAAAAGCACUUUGGAAAGAGAGUUAAACAGCACGUGAAAUUGUUGAAAGGGAAGCGUUCAUGACCAGACUUGGACCGGUCAAUCAUCCAGCGUUCUCGCUGGUGCACUUUUCCCGGUCCAGGCCAGCAUCAGUUCGCGGCGGGGGAUAAAGGCGUCGGGAAUGUGGCUCCCUCGGGAGUGUUAUAGCCCUUCGCGCAAUACCCUGCCCUGGACUGAGGUUCGCGCUCUGCAAGGAUGCUGGCGUAAUGGUCAUCAACGACCCGUCUUGAAACACGGACCAAGGAGUCGAUCUCGUAUGCGAGUGUUCGGGUGUCAAACCCCUACGCGUAAUGAAAGUGAACGCAGGUGAGAGCUUCGGCGCAUCAUCGACCGAUCCUGAUGUUCUCGGAUGGAUUUGAGUAAGAGCAUACGGGGCCGGACCCGAAAGAAGGUGAACUAUGCCUGUAUAGGGUGAAGCCAGAGGAAACUCUGGUGGAGGCUCGCAGCGGUUCUGACGUGCAAAUCGAUCGUCAAAUAUGGGCAUGGGGGCGAAAGACUAAUCGAACCUUCUAGUAGCUGGUUUCCGCCGAAGUUUCCCUCAGGAUAGCAGUGUUGAGCUCAGUUUUAUGAGGUAAAGCGAAUGAUUAGGGACUCGGGGGCGCUAUUUAGCCUUCAUCCAUUCUCAAACUUUAAAUAUGUAAGAAGCCCUUGUUGCUUAAUUGAACGUGGGCAUUCGAAUGUAUCAACACUAGUGGGCCAUUUUUGGUAAGCAGAACUGGCGAUGCGGGAUGAACCGAACGCGAGGUUAAGGUGCCAGAGUAGACGCUCAUCAGACACCA
Molecule: ribosomal RNA, 1178 nt
Filed under: Kastanostachys aterrima
Lineage: Eukaryota; Fungi; Ascomycota; Sordariomycetes; Hypocreales; Stachybotryaceae
Description: eukaryotic LSU rRNA
Rfam family: Eukaryotic large subunit ribosomal RNA
Source: RNAcentral